CAAUAGCGUAUAUUAAAGUUGUUGCAGUUAAAAAGCUUGUAGUUGGAUUUCUGGUGGGAGCGAUCGGUCUGGCGCUUAGCGCGAGUACUUGCAUCGUCUCCGGCCAUCCUUGGGGAGAGUCUGUCUGGCAUUAGGUUGUCGGGCAGAGGAUCCUCAUCGUUUACUGUGAAAAAAUUAGAGUGUUCAAAGCAGGCUUAUGCCGUUGAAUAUAUUAGCAUGGAAUAAUAAGAUAGGACUUUGGUACUAUUUUGUUGGUUUGCGCACCAAAGUAAUGAUUAAUAGGGACAGUUGGGGGUAUUCGUAUUCCGUUGUCAGAGGUGAAAUUCUUGGAUUUACGGAAGACGAACUACUGCGAAAGCAUUUACCAAGGAUGUUUUCAUUAA
RNAcentral lists this ribosomal RNA (383 nucleotides) under uncultured eukaryote. RNAcentral's name for it is "partial 18S ribosomal RNA". It matches the Rfam family "Eukaryotic small subunit ribosomal RNA", at positions 592 to 976 of the family's 1831-position model. The record is from RNAcentral.